AAAUUUUAGAGAGUUUGAUCCUGGCUCAGGACGAACGCUGGCGGCGUGCCUAACACAUGCAAGUCGAACGGAACUUUUUUAAAGGAUUUCUUCGGAAUGAAUUUGAUUAAGUUUAGUGGCGGACGGGUGAGUAACGCGUGAGUAACCUGCCUCUGAGAGGGGAAUAACAUUCUGAAAAGAAUGCUAAUACCGCAUAAUAUAUAUUUAUCGCAUGGUAGAUAUAUCAAAGAUUUAUCGCUUAGAGAUGGACUCGCGUCCGAUUAGUUAGUUGGUGAGGUAACGGCUCACCAAGACCGCGAUCGGUAGCCGGACUGAGAGGUUGAACGGCCACAUUGGGACUGAGACACGGCCCAGACUCCUACGGGAGGCAGCAGUGGGGGAUAUUGCGCAAUGGGGGAAACCCUGACGCAGCAACGCCGCGUGAAGGAUGAAGGUCU
RNAcentral lists this ribosomal RNA (437 nucleotides) under Ruminococcus bromii. RNAcentral's name for it is "bacterial SSU rRNA". It matches the Rfam family "Bacterial small subunit ribosomal RNA", at positions 1 to 417 of the family's 1533-position model. Lineage: Bacteria; Bacillati; Bacillota; Clostridia; Eubacteriales; Oscillospiraceae. The record is from RNAcentral.